CCGUGGCGGCCGCCUUCUUGCUGCUACUUAUUAUGGAAAACCGGCCGGGCUGGGCUUUCGCCUUCUUUCCGCCCACACCCGCCGAAG
RNAcentral lists this non-coding RNA (87 nucleotides) under Heterosigma akashiwo. Lineage: Eukaryota; Raphidophyceae; Chattonellales; Chattonellaceae. The record is from RNAcentral.